RNAcentral lists this ribosomal RNA (326 nucleotides) under Helicobacter pylori. RNAcentral's name for it is "bacterial LSU rRNA". It matches the Rfam family "Bacterial large subunit ribosomal RNA", at positions 1816 to 2139 of the family's 2925-position model. Lineage: Bacteria; Pseudomonadati; Campylobacterota; Epsilonproteobacteria; Campylobacterales; Helicobacteraceae. The record is from RNAcentral.
CAGCACUUUGCCAACUCGUAAGAGGAAGUAUAAGGUGUGACGCCUGCCCGGUGCUCGAAGGUUAAGAGGAUGCGUCAGUCGCAAGAUGAAGCGUUGAAUUGAAGCCCGAGUAAACGGCGGCCGUAACUAUAACGGUCCUAAGGUAGCGAAAUUCCUUGUCGGUUAAAUACCGACCUGCAUGAAUGGCGUAACGAGAUGGGAGCUGUCUCAACCAGAGAUUCAGUGAAAUUGUAGUGGAGGUGAAAAUUCCUCCUACCCGCGGCAAGACGGAGAGACCCCGUGGACCUUUACUACAACUUAGCACUGCUAAUGGGAAUAUCAUGCGC